UAGACCAAUAAUGGAAUAAAAUGUAACAGAGCGUAAUAGAGUCAU
RNAcentral lists this unclassified non-coding RNA (45 nucleotides) under Leishmania tarentolae. Its description in RNAcentral is "gND3VIa". Lineage: Eukaryota; Euglenozoa; Kinetoplastea; Trypanosomatida; Trypanosomatidae. The record is from RNAcentral.